GGCGGACGGGCAGUAUUUACUCCCUACCUGUUUCCCUAGUCAGUGAAACUAGAACAAAAUUUUGGGUCUGCUGCAGGUCCAAGGAGGAAUUCAUUCUCUUCCCAGAGGAGGAGACCACAGUGUGGCCUGGGCGUGAGAGAACCCCCUCCACCUUGAAGCACUUUCUGCAUUAUCUUCUUCAAGAUCCCAUUGCACCUUUCUGUGAGUGAGAAUUACUUCGAAGAAGGGAAGACCAGAAACACGUUUUCUUGCCAGUUAAACUUGGUUAGUAGAACUGUGUGGCAGUGUGUUGGCCACGAGUAACAAACUAGAAAAUUAAAUUAAAAGCCGGGACUGAGGCCUUGAAGAGACGGCCCUUAGGUAAAGAACACUUUCAUGGACCCACAUCCAGCCGCUCACAACCACUCGUAACUUCCGUUCCAGGGCAUCCUGCAGCCUAUUUUGACCCUCUCUGUCACCUGCCAGCAGAUGGUAAAAUACGUGCAUGCCAAGCACACGCAAAUACACAUAAAGGAAGAAAUCUUUUUUGUUUUUAAGUCAAUAAAUAAAAAAGGCAAGGCUGAGAGACGAUACGAAGAGGCAAAAAGGCAUCAAGGCAGAAGCGGGUCCAAAGGAGAAAAAGGAAGGGAAUUCAUCAGUGCAUUUCUGGGUUUUAAUAUUGUCCCAGCCUGCGGCCCUUGGGAAAGCGUAUAAUGUUCAUUGGCUCACAGUUAAAUGGCUUCCAGCCUGCCAGUCUCUGACCGCUCUUCUAACCUUAGGGACAUUUUUAUUUCUCUGGUAUUCAGGUCAGGAUUCUAAUGUCCUUUGGUUCUUGUAAAGAUGGCAGCGAUCGCAGGGACCCGUGGUCAGCGGCUACCAAAGGUACACGUUACACAGAGAAGUCCACAGAAUGAAUAUCCCCACGAAGCUCACAGGAGGCAAGCCUCCUUUACAUUUCAAUUUUUCCCCCUUAAUUAUGUGGAAGAUUUCCAGUCGCUGGCACGGGCUGCCUAGCUACCGAGGGCGAAUUUCAAUUGUGACCUUGAGGACGAGGAGCUCUCCUUAGCGCUGGCUUGUUGACGACCUAAAUAUUAAAUUAAAUCAGCAGGGGGGCACAAUUUCUUCACAGUUCCUUUUGACUAGAAGAAAACCACCUAAGCUUGUUUCUUUGUGUUAUUUUGAGAUUUUUUUCCCUUUCCCUUUCCUUUCUUUUUCUUUCUCUCUUUCUUUCUUUCUUUCUUUCUUUCUUUCUUUCUUUCUUUCUUUCUUUUUUUCCUUCUGAUAAUCCCUUCAGAAAAAAAUGCAAGCCAUCCUAAAAGGGGGCUGACAAAUUUCCUGGGAGUGGACCAGCUAGUUACAAAAUUUCUGCAAUGAGGAUGUUUUCCUUUAAAAAAGAAAAAAAAAAUCACGAGGUGGUGUGAAUGAAGGCACUAUGGUGGACACAUCACUAUUGUUCAUUUAGAAUUUCUUCCUAGAACUCCCAACCUGAUGGCAGCUCCCACUUUCUGGGCAUCUGGAAAACGCGUGGAAAGAUUCCAUCUACGGAUGCUUCCCGGGCUGCGUUUACAGCUGUCUCCUGCAUCUCUGAACGAAAUGGAAAUGACCUUUGAGAUGCUCUAAUCAUUCACCUGCCUGUUCAAGUAUGAAGUAGGAUUGAGGUGCAAGCAAGGACAGAGACUGUGUAAGCAUCUGUGGUCCUCCCCACACAGCUGGCAAAGCAGGCUUGAGUGGUAAGACAUAGUCUGCUGCCAAAACAACUCAUCCUCCUCCUUCGUUCCACUGUAUGAACUCCUGCUCCUCUCACAGUGGCAAAGAGGCCAGACAAGGGGUGUGUUGUGACUAGUCUGGUCUAGUCCAGGGCAAUUACAGAAUCUAGAAUCUCUUACAGAACUCGUCUGGCUUCUUUUGAAGUUUAGAAUUUACUUAUAUGUAAGAGGAAGUCAACUAGGGCGCAUUUCUGAGAGGUUUUGUUUUCUUAAUAAACAAACAAGGAGAUGAUAUCCAGCCUUCAUUGUUUCAUGGUGCUUUGAAGGGCAAAGUGGUACCAGGAACUGCAGUAGCCAUUUUGUCCAAGAAGUCUGCAGCAUUUUGGUAGAGCCUUUGGUCAUGAUCUUAUUUUGUUACUUCAAUUAGCAGUUGCCCAGGUCCAUGCUUCUUAGUUUAGGCCAGGAAAAAAAUCCCUCCUUUCUCAGGCUCCUGGUGGUCAGGUCACAGAACAAAAGCAGCAAAAGUUAGCUGGCUUGCCAUGUUUCCAGAAAUUUCAUUGGUAAUGGAAAACGUCAAGUACACUCAGGCUCCCCAUGACUUACACAGACCGUUACACAAACUAGUCCAGCAUAGAGUCAGUAACCUAUCUUCCUGGACUCACAGGAUAUCAGGGCCAGAAGACAGGAACAUGAUGGGUGGGUCUGUUACAGAGCAACAACCCUGGGCUCCUGAGGAGUGGUUUUAUAGCCAGCAACUGUCUGGAAGGGGGGCCUCAGAUGGAAAGUCCCCAGGCUCCAUCACAGUGGAGGGAAACAGAUGAAAAGGUGCCUGUGACAACCUGCUACGAGGCACUGGUGGUCAGCCAGUGUCCUACUUCCCCCAACCCCCAGAGCUGCCACUAUGACAAGUCAUACUGGGCCUACACUUUACCUUCCUGCCCUGUGCAGAGACAUGCAGGGAAGUCAGGUGAGAUGGAACAGCCCAACGGGAUAGAGGGAAAGUGUUUUCAACUGACAAGGUGGAGUGGGGGAAGGGGCUUGAGUUUAUCAAAGGACAAAACCUUUUGAGAGGAAUAAUGUAUUCUGUGUAUUUUUUUCAUGUUUUGAUUAAAUAUUUCUCAGUAUCUCAAGAGACUGAUUAUCAGGGCAUUUCCCUGCAUACAAAGGCAGCGUUGAAGGACACUCCCAGACACUGGCAAGGACAAAUGCCAAGGUCGUGCAGUCUUGAGAGGAGGGGUGUGCGCAAACACGUGCAUCCGGUGUGCUCUCAGUAGUGGCAGCUAGCUAUUACCGUCCCCAGUGUAGCAUAUCCACACACCGUUGCAGGGGCCCUUUGGAAGCCAUAUGUGUAAUCCCCAGCCACCAGCUGGCCUGUCUUGUGCUAGUUCUUAAAUACAUUAUGCAGAUUUUGCAAUAUAAAAUUCUAGUAGUAACAAACCUUAAAUCAUUUCACAGCCUUUAAAGCCCGGAAGGAAAAAGGCUCAAAAAGCUGUGAAAGCAAAUCACAGGUUCCACGGCUUGUUCAGUUGUCACCCUUAACCACACCAAGUGGGCGGUAUCACAGCCACUUGAGAUUUAAAUAUUUAUGUCAAUCAUCUUAAUGCGGAUGUCAUAGAAUUUAUGACAACUGGAUCUCAUGCUCUCGACCGGGAGAAAUCAAGAUGGCUAGAAAGCAAUCUAGUCUCUCUCACUAGAAAUAGGCCAGCUUCUUUCGAAGAUCAGAAUUCAAUUAUGCACAAGAGGAAGUUGGAUGGAAUGGACUAGAUAACAUUGAUCUACUUUACAAUUUAGUUCCUUCAUUUUCCUGGUGAAGUGAAUUUACCUAAAUGACCCACCCCAAGGGCUGUGUGAAGGUUCCAAACCUGUCACCCAUUUCCCCAUACUCAGUCCUAUGCCACAGAGAGCCCCGGGUGCCUGUGUAAGGCUCCAAAUGAGUCUUAACCACCAGGAAACCCCCCACGUGAGACAUGAGAAUGGAGUUCGAUGUAAACACAAGAGGUUUAUUUUUCCAGCACGUCGGGGUCAACCCUCAAUCAGCCCCUCAUGACGAGUGACUAGAAGGUGACCCCAAAUGACUAUAACAAGCAAUUUUUAUACUUUUUAGGGGUACAGGUUACAUCAGCAAGGUUACAGUUUAAACUUAUUGGCUAAGCAUAUUGACCUUUGAAUCUAUUGGCUAGCAAGCAUAUGACAUGCAUUCGAACUCUGUCUGGGACCAGAGGGUCAGGUGACUAUCUGCAGACGUUCUGCGGUUUUUCAAGAAUGUCUCUGCUCCUCCCAAAAAAUGUGGGUGGAGAAUGGAACUUGGCCUAGCCUUGACCCGAGGCGGGAAGCUGGUACUUGGCCUAAUCUUGACCUCAGGUGUUGGGUGUAAGGCUGGCGAAAGCCCCCAGGGUCCUUCACAGGAACCCCAUACCUACCUACUUUCUACCAGGCCAAACUUCUUAAUGGCAAUUACACUUCAGUAAGAACUAGGGUCCUUCACCUGCAGACAUGCCAACUGCAAGACCAAGUGUGGAAACAAAGUUUUUAAGAAUGUAGGUUCUGAAAAUGUAAAAACAAAGUUUUAGUAGUCAGAAUGACUAAGCCUCACUGACCAAGGCCAAGCUAAUUAAGACAAAACAAAAAUAACUGCUCUCCCUACCCCUCCCUCUGGUAAAGUCCAAAAACAAUGACAAGAUGUCAACCUGACCCUGCCCGACCACCCAGUUCCCCUUCUCCCCGCAAGGAACUUUCCAACCUAGCCCUUUUCCAGAGAUUUUCCAAGACCAGGUGCAGGGUUGGAUGAGGAAAGUGACUAACUAAGAACAGCCCCUUGAGCAGGCCAGCCAAUACCUGACCAGAUCCUUUGUCCUGUGUUCCACCAAUAAGAAUAGGCCAGCUAACCCUGUUGCUGAAGUCUGCCCUCUGUAAAGAAUAAAAGAUGUGUGCUUUUUGAGUUCGGGGUUGCCUCUCCCUGAGAGGCUGAGCGACCCCAUUCGUGUUGGAUCAAUAAACCUCUUGCCGUUGCAUCGGUCCAAUCAUCAGUUUGUGCUCUGUGGGGUCGUGCACCUAGGCUAAGACCUUGGAGGUCUAACACAAGCUCUUCUGUGGCCAUUCUUAGUAUAACUUCUAGCCUCCGUUAAAAGAGGAUCAUGAACAAUGCUCAUAAAGUCUGAUUUUAACCUUUGAACUUUAGAAUUUCCUAGGGAGAAGUAACACGUAAAACUCCCAAAGAAGGAAGAGAUGAGGGAAUACCAGGAGGGAGAGGAAGGAAAGGUGGGCCAUGAGCCCGGGAGUAGAGUAUUUAGUGGAAAUCCCAGUCCUCAGGAUUGCUAGGUCCCUGAGAGCCCUGGCUUUAGUGCUCUCCUAAGAACACUAGCUACUAACCUGGCACCCCACAGCCCAGCUUGGUGUGCUAACUCAAACAACAUCUUAUUGUCUUACAGCUAGACUCAUACUGAGUGCUAUUUCUGGAGCACACAAGCUGCAUCGGAAAGAGCUGUCAUCGUUAAACUGCAAGGUCUAGGUAAACAAAUACCUAUAUUCAGGAGAUGAUAUUCCUAGAGAAUUUGCUGCCAUAAAAGGUUUCAGUGACUCACUAAUUAGACAGAGAAGCCAGAUUGCCUAGGGAGGCAAUCUGAAUAAGGAAGGAAACCAUGGAGAGAAACUAGGGAAAGUGGCACCAAAGGAAGCUUGUGGUGGCCUGGGUCAGACCUCCUGGAUUGGAAGUCACACAGUGCCCAGACACUGUACUUAGCACCUAGGACCUGUCAGAGUCAGAACAAGGUCCUGGGACCUUUUACUUCCCUGUUUUGUUUCUUGAAUGCUCAGCCUGACUCGCACUGGAAUCGUCUCCAGUGCUUAAGGCUUAACACAGUAACUCAUUGUUCACACUCCUAACUUUUAGAAAAAUAAUAGAGACACAGAAAAAUUCAGCACACAUUCUGUGUGACCUUGCCCCAGGUCACACUCCAGCAAGUCACUGAGAUAGACUGUAGUACAGCUGCCUGUGCCUGGCAGAGUGGGCUCCAUGGCUAUAACAAAGCAGAGAAGGGGAGUGGAGAGACACAGGGUGUGGUGGUUUGAAUACACUUGGCCCAGAGAGUGGCACUCUUUGGAGAUAUGGCCUUCAUGGAGUAGGUGCUACCUCAUGUGUGGAGGAAGUGUGUCACUGUGGGGCUGGGCUUUAACUCUUGUCCUACUUGCCUGGAAGCCAAUCUUCUCCUAGUAUCCAUCAGAUGAAGAUGUAGAACUCUUAGCUCCUCCUGCUCCAUGCCUGCCUAGAUGCUGCCAUGCUCCUGCCUUAAUGAUAAUGGACUGGACCUCUUAACCUGUAAGCCAGCUCCAAUUAAAUGUUGUAUUAAGAGUUGCCUUGAUCAUGGUGCCUGUUCAUAGCAGUAAAACCCUGAAGAAAAAAAAAUGGGCAUGCCCCAUUUUUUUUUACAUUUAUUUAAUUAUUUAUCUAACUAUUUAGUGUGUGAAGAAAGGAAAUUCUCCAUGUGGAGGGUAGAAGGCUAGAGGACAACUUGCAGGACUCAGUUACCUAUUCCCAUCUUAUGGAGCUUGGUGAUAGAAUCAUGUGGUCAAGCUUGGUCACAGGCCAUUUACCUGCUAAGUCAUCAGCUCGCUUUCAUUUUAGAUAAAUAAGUCACAGACGGCUUUUCUGGAAAAGUGUCACAUGUACAUGACUCUUCAUAAGCUUGAGAAUGCGAAGGACGCUGGCAUAGAGGGCAAGGACUCACCCUUUCUCAUCUUUGGGAUUAAAUGAAAAAGAAACAGGAAGUCUUGCUUGGCAAGUGAUGUUAAAUUCCUUUAAUUAUGAGGAAGAUGCAGUUGCCUGGAGCAGUAGCCACAAUCUCCCUGCCAAGAAUUAAUUAGUUAUGUGGUUUCUCAGGAAUUUCACUGUACUGUGGUGACAAUAAAUUGAAUUUUGUAGGUGACAUAAUUCAUGCCCAUUCCAAAUAUGAGAUUAAGUUCUGCCUUUUACGAAGGUGUUCAGACUUUAUCACACUAUAAGUGUUUCUAGCCUCAUAUUAAUCCUGCUUGGGUAUUUUGUUUUGUUUUGCUUUUGUUUUUGUUUGUGUUUUUAAGAAUUGCUAGAAUUGCUAUUAACCAUCACAUCUGCAGGGCCCCAGAAAGGACCACAGACGUAACCUGCCCCAAAGACCAUGUGACUGUUUCCCAUCCCUUCAGCUUUGCUUCCUGCAUCUUGAAUCUCUUGUUUCUCACAUUGUUAACUGUGAUCUCUAUCCUGUGUUAUCCUUUAAUAAAGAAAUGCCCAGACAGAACUACUCAGUCUCUCUCUGCUAUUGGAAGAAUUGUAAAUCCAGAUGGAGCUCAUGAUUUGUGAGUUUUCCUAGCCAUGCAGAAGUAGAGCUGUGGAAGUUGGCGUAAGGGGAUCCUUCCCCCUGAAAUGUCAUAGAUUUUCAUUAUGUGAUCAAUAGAAAUAGCACGAUUGCACAGAAGCUCGGCCAUGGUAUUUAAAUUCUUCCUCUCCACCUUAAUGAGGGCAUCUAUCAGAGCAGUGGAGUGAAAUAGUGACAUUUAAGACUCAGAUACUGUGAUUAGACAUAAGGCUAUUCAGGAACUGGGCUGUAGGCUGGCAGCCAUCUUCACACAUUCUAAAUGGCCAUCAUAGCACAGUGUUCUGUGUUCUUGGACAAAAGUCUUGGGUCUUAGAAUGUCUCCUCUGCUGAUAAAGGUUAACCAGCACAACUGGAACAAUUUGGAGCAGGGUGUGGUAACCCACACCUUUAAUCCCAGCACUGGGGCUGCAGAGGCAGCAGAUCACUGUGAGUUCAAAGCCAGCCUGAUCUAUAUAAUGCGUUCCAGGUCAGCCAGUGCUAUAUAUGAGACUCUGUCCCAAACACACACACACACACACACACACACACACACACACACACACACACUCCCCUCCCAUACACACACACAAAGUUGCAGUUAAGAGGAACAGGCAACUUGUUUUUUAGACUGCAUUGUGAGAUUCUCCCAGCCCCAGUUAAUAUUACUAUUAAAGAGCCGGAGAAGAGCAGCUACUGAAUGUCUAGCCCUGAACAGAGAAGUGGAUGAGAUCAGGGGCUAUGGAGAAAAUAAAGAAACCAAGACACAGUAAGGAGUUGACAGGAGCUAACAAGAAGCCAACUCUUACACAGAUAAUGCUUGGUGUCCUUGGUGGGGGCAGGGGGAGCUGUCUCUCGAACUCUCUAAAGAUACUUAGAGGUGAAUAUAAAUAAUCAUUAUAUAUUAUUAUCAUAUGUAUGAUUUAUAAAGUACAGGUUGCAGUCCAGCUAAUCCAACAAUGGCUGACUAUGAAUGGAAAGACCAAGAAUCCAGUAGUUGCUCAGUCCCACAAGACUGGAUGUCUCAGCUGGUCUUCAGUAUAUGCUAGAAUCCCAAAGAAGUGGGCUGUAAUGACUUGAAGGAAUUGGAUGUGCUAGCGAGACGAGGGCAAGCAGGCACAGGACAAAAGCUUCCACCUUCCAUGUCCUAAUAUAGGCCUCCACAAAGGUGUGGCCCAGAUUAAAGGUAUAGCUCCCGCUUCAAGAUCUGGAACAAAAGUGUGAAUCUUCCAGCCUCAAAGGUCCGGGCUUGAAGUGGAUCCACCCACUUCAAACCAAGCCAAAAACCCUUCACAGGGGUGCCCUCCAUUUCUGGGUUUUUGUUCCAGAUGCAGUCAGGUUGACAAGCAAGAAUAGCCAUCACAAGUCAACCCCUUGUCAACUUGACACACAAUCAUAUCAUGUCAUGAUGAUUUUCCAAAUGAAAACAAUAGCCAGGUCGUAAUAAUGCCUAAACAUAAUACGACUUGCCUAACAUGAUAUGACUAUCCCUUGUAUAACUUUCUAUUGAUGUUUUAUUCCUGUGAAGAGACACCAUGACCACAGCAAUUCUUAUAAAGGAAAACAUGGGGCUUGCUUACAUUCAAAGGUUUAGUCCAUUGUCAUCAGGGCAGGGAGCAUGGCAGCAUGUAGGCAGGAGCUAGAGAAGUAGGUGAGAGUUCUACAUUCAGAUCUGUGGGCAUCAGGAAGAGGGAGAGAGAGAGAGAGAGACCUGGGGUCUGGGUUGGGCAUUUGAAAUUCCAAACCCAACCCCUAGAGACACAUCCUCCAAGGACACACCUACGCCAACACCUACGUCCUAACCCCUAUCAAGUGGUGCCACUCCCUAAUGAAACAAGCAUUUAAAUCUGAGACUGUGGGAGCCAUUCCUAUUCAAACUACCACAAUAGGUAUGAGAGUUGUGAUGUUAGAAAAUAUCUAUGGCUUUGAAACGGGUUUCUAAUACCCUGGAUAUUAUUUAUUUUAGCUGUUUCCUUAAAAUCCUUUCCAUGGAGAGAUCUCAAUGGCUUCCCUUGUACCAUCUCUCAGUGACUGAAGAUCAGAGAGGGACAGACAGCUCCUAGUAGGGUGAGGUCAGCCUACCCAGGCAUCUGGGAAUACUCAUUGUGCGCUCCCAAGAAGGUUGCAAAAUGCAUCUUUUAUCCGUGUUGUAUUUGUGGACUUUAAAGUUAGCCUUAGAGAAUAGGAAAGGGACCAGCCUCUACCUCCAGAUUCCCUUUUCUAUGUCGUCCUUCCCCACUCACCCCAGGUGUCUAAAUUCUUCAUGUUCUCUGUUCAAAGCAAAACUCCCAAUAGGAGGUGAUUUUGAAAGAGUCAUUCACAACACAAUUCGGCAUUAUUUUCUCCUUCCUAUCAAUAUUUACACCGCAUAUGGCCAAUGUUUCCAAUAAGGUAACCACUCCAAAUUCCUUAUUCUAUUAUCUGUGAAAGGCUGUAGAGGAUCACUUGGCUUUGUGUAUUAUGGGGGGGGGGGGGAUUCUCUUUGGAAGACCCUUCUGUUAGGGUAAUUCUUGUUAUAAAAACAAAGAUACCUAAUAGUAGUUUAUCCAAUAAUAAUGAGUUGCUUAUCAGCGGCAUGGCCGCCUAGUCGUUUAGGACAUGGGUCAGCAUUUCCACAGUGUCUGGAUGCUGAGUACUUCCCUGAUUAGCUCUUCUUCCCAUCAUGGGUACCCAAAAGAUUGUGUAUAUUCAAACAUCACAUUUGCCUAUCACAGUGGUCACAGGAGGAAAGAUUAGGGAGCCUUUACGUGGGCAGACAUUUUCUCAGAGAUGCCGUGGAACUCCACUGACAUCACAUUUGGCCACCUCUAGUAGGGAGUUAGCAGAGAGUAGUGACGAUCCAGUGUCAAGGUGAACCACACUGAGAUCCUGUAGGGUGUAAUUAUUCAAAAACAAUCCACGCUAAAGCCAGCCGAGUCUCCCCUCCCCCAUUGGGAGCCUCAAGCCCUGGUCUUCUCUGCUGCCUAACCACUCAUAUUUCCCACACCAUCCUUCCUUUGUGGCUAUCCUGCCGAGACUGGCAGCAAACGGCUCUAAACCCCUAGCCCCGUUAAAUUAAGACUCCAGAGGCUUAUAAUUUAUCAGCCAAGUUUAUAACAGUAAAUCUUCAACCCCCCAAAUGCCUACACAAAGAACUCAAAACUCAAUUGAUAUAAAUAAAAGCUGCACACACCUAGAUGGCACAAAUGCACCCUACAUUACUACCCUUAUUGUCCUUCUAUGAUAUCCAUCACUACCUGUGACUCUUUCAAGCCGCGUGGAUCAGAUUCAUCUUCUUCCUCCAACCCCCCCUCCCACUUCCCCUCUCUGAAACUUUCAGCCCCGCCUUCUUUUCCACUGCCCAAUCACAGGCUCCGGUUUCAUCUGACUAAUUAAGAUUUCACCUGAUUGCACGUGAAUACGGGCACUCUUAAGGAAGCAGAACGUAUGAACAGCAAUCUACAACAAGAUCCAAACAAAGUCGACUGUUUUAUCAUUGGGGGCACAAGGAAACGUGGUGCCGAAGUGGUCAGUAGCAUCUGCCUCAACCUGAGAACCGCAUCACCCAGGAGCUACUGUGAGCCAAGCUCCAAAGGAAGAUGGUGCUAUCCCUAAUCCCCUCUGGCUGGACAAGGGAGGAAACGUUUCAAGGACGGGUGAGGUUCAAAAGGUGGUUGCGGUAGCACAGCGUCCAGCGUCCUGUUCUCUAGCCUAUCUCUAUAUGAGUUUAACCUGUUGUGUCUCUCCUUUAAUCAACAAACUUACUAGAAAAUAUAUUAGUUUUUUUUUUCCUUUUGGCAGGCAGCGGGUCUAGCUACUCCUCAAGAAGAAAUGGCCCAAAGAUGAUUGUAUUCAGAUUUAUUUAUUAAUUCAAAACUUUCACUUAUCAAAUGCUAGCAUGGAGAGAAAACACACAACCUGACAGGCGGCUUCUUUUAUGUGUGCAUGCUAAUGUUUUAAACAUCACGUUGAGAUUUGAUUUGUAAUUUUAAAAUUGCUAUUUUCCUGGGCUGGCCUUGUAUUAUCGAAAUUCUUACACAGACUUCAUCAGGGGAAAUCUCCUCAUAAACUGGGACAGGGAAAGUGUAAAUGUUUAAAGGACACACUUUUUUAUCAAAGUAAAAGUAAUUUUACUGAUUCUCAUGAAUGAGAGGACCCCUAGUAAAUACCUGCUGUGUUCAACAGAAGAACUCUCCUUUGAAAAGUCUCACCUUGAAGUAUUACUUUAAAGUUGUGAUUUACAUGCCAUGAUUAUACAUAUUUAUUAUGCAUGUUGUGAUAUUUUAAUAUACUAUGUACUU
Long non-coding RNA from Rattus norvegicus (Norway rat), 11289 nucleotides. RefSeq lists it as uncharacterized. The record is from RefSeq and is a predicted model, not a curated record. NCBI's taxonomy places the organism in Eukaryota, Metazoa, Chordata, Mammalia, Rodentia, Muridae.